UGGUACCCUUGUACACACCGCCCGUCGCUACUACCGAUUGAAUGGUUUAGUGAGGCCUUCUGACUGGCGCCGCUACUCUGGCAACAGAGCGGCGGAUGUCGGGAAGUUGGUCAAACUUGAUCAUUUAGAGGAAGUAAAAGUCGUAACAAGGUUUCCGUAGGUGAACCUGCGGAAGGAUCAUUACCGAUGGAAUGUCCAAAGAAAAGGUUACAUCAACCUUUGUGAACCGUACACAACCUUUAGGGGUCGGUCUCUGUGCCGUUAAAUGUGUCGUUCGUCCGUUGAUUCGGCGUUCGGCCAGCCCCGCCUACCGCCAUUGUGGACGCACUUGAAUGUACCAGUCUGAAAGUGAAACCUUCCUUGCUGCCUGUCCUGCCAGGUAGUAGUGCGAACGAAAAAUAAAUGAGAGAGACAACUUUUAACGGUGGAUCUCUUGGCUCACGUAUCGAUGAAGAACGCAGCCAGCUGCGAUAAGUAGUGUGAAUUGCAGAAUUCAGUGAAUCAUUGAAUCUUUGAACGCAAAUGGCGCUCUUGGGUUCUCCCAGGAGCAUGUCUGUCUGAGUGUCGGAUAUUAUCUAACGCACUCCAGCGUGCGGAAUUGAGGCGUCACGGUGCAAGACAACUCGCCGUGUCCCUUGAAGGAAAGCGUGCUAGACUCGCAUCGCGCGGUUUCAAACCCGCACUCCACAUGCGAAGGCUAAAACUACUUUGUCCUUCGUCGGGGUGCGGGUCCGCCAAGGCGAGUCGGCCGACAAAGGUGCGACGCAAUAAACAACAUCUUGACCUCAGAUCAGGCAAGGCUACCCGCUGAAUUUAAGCAUAUUAGUAAGCGGAGGAAAAGAAACUAACAAGGAUUCCCCCAGUAACGGCGAGUGAAGCGGGAAUAGCUCAAAUUUGAAAUCUCCGACGCUUGCGUCGGCGAGUUGUAGUUGCGAGAAGCACUUUCUCGGCGGAUCGGGCGUGCCUAAGUUGCUUGGAACAGUACGUCGCAGAGGGUGACAACCCCGUUUGUGGCACGGCCGACCGCUCACGAUGUGCUUUCGAAGAGUCGGGUUGCUUGGGACUGCCGCCCAAAGC
This is a ribosomal RNA of 1077 nucleotides. The stretch from base 781 to 1077 matches the Rfam family "Eukaryotic large subunit ribosomal RNA", at positions 1 to 293 of the family's 3401-position model.